RNAcentral lists this ribosomal RNA (499 nucleotides) under uncultured bacterium. RNAcentral's name for it is "bacterial SSU rRNA". It matches the Rfam family "Bacterial small subunit ribosomal RNA", at positions 29 to 517 of the family's 1533-position model. The record is from RNAcentral.
ACGAACGCUGGCGGCGUGCCUAACACAUGCAAGUCAGGGAGAAGGAGGUAGCAAUACUUCCGGAAACCGGCGCACGGGUGAGUAACACGUAGGUAAUUUACCCUUGGGCGGGGAAUAACCACGCGAAAGCGUGGCUAAUACCGCAUAAUGCAACGAGACCGCAUGGCCUUGUUGUUAAAGAUCCGCAAGGAUCACCUGAGGAUGGACCUGCGUCCGAUUAGCUAGUUGGCGGAGAAUAGCCCACCAAGGCGACAAUCGGUAGCCGACCUGAGAGGGUGAUCGGCCACACUGGAACUGAGAUACGGUCCAGACUCCUACGGGAGGCAGCAGUGAGGAAUAUUGGUCAAUGGGCGAAAGCCUGAACCAGCAACGCCGCGUGAGGGAUGAAGGUCUAAGGAUUGUAAACCUCUGUUAGGAGGGACGAAUGGUUCCGUAAUGAACUUACGGGAUGUGACGGUACCUCCAGAGAAACGCCCGGCUAACUCCGUGCCAGCCGCCG